Non-coding RNA from Danio rerio (zebrafish), 3226 nucleotides. The record is from RefSeq and is a predicted model, not a curated record. Lineage: Eukaryota; Metazoa; Chordata; Actinopteri; Cypriniformes; Danionidae.
CCUAUUAUGUCGGCGUGCAUGCAAACAACCAACCGGGAUUCUAUGGCAAGCCCAAGAGCUCAUAAAAACACUAUUAAUCAAUCGCGUUUACAAUUAAAACGCCGCAUUAAACGGCGCUAAUACCAUUUCAAACGCCGCUAAAAACGCCGUUCUGAUUGCAAACGCCGCAAAUAACGCGCGUAAACCUGUAAAAAACGCCGUUUUUAACGCCGUUUUAGUGUUAGUAAAAAGCGCGGCUUAUAACGCGAUCCGCUUGCCACAAAACGCCGUUUAAAACGCCGUUUUAACCCCACUGAAACGCGCGUUAUAAACGGCGCUUUCCUGAAGUAUAAUGAGCCACGCCCGCUGAUUUCCACAGCCAGUAAGCUUGAGCUGCUCUCACCCAAUCAAGGAUGAACACAACCAGACAAGACUAGUUCACCACUGAUCGUGGCGGAAUAAGUGACUCUGAACUGAUAGCAAAUGCUUAUUAACAAAGUACCUUUUACCAUAGAGCGAUUCCACGUCUUUAUGCUUGUAAAUGUUCAUUUUAGAUAGAUGGCAUCAGCAGAAAUGUAUUUUUGGAAGUGCCUUGGCAAAAGUGAGCGGGCAUGUUAUUGUAACCCUUAUUUAUGGCUGUUUACAGACCAUUUCCUCCAACGUGGGCAUCGUAAAUAAACGCUGGUUACCAGGGUGAUAAUUCGUUUCUUUUCUUUAAUCUGGAGCAUCGACAUAACAUUCACAAACAACAUUACAACAGCAUUGCAUCUGCCGAAUUCCUCCACUUCCUUUUUUCCCUUUCUCCUGCUUUCCGGUGCGCCUCCCUUAAAGGAGCCAGAGCACAACAACCUUGUAUCAGACAUAUUGAACGUAAAUAGAAAAUCUUUUUAAGUAGAUUCAAUAACAUUUUUACGGUUAUUAAUUAGCAAAAUAUUAAUUGAAAUAAUGAAUAAAAUAUAAAGUUACAUUGACAGCAGGUCUGCAAACGCAAACUGACUCAAUACUAUUAGGGCUGCAUGGGCAACAUCAGUUGGAGGGCUAAUGCAGAUUUUAGCUCCAGCCCAUCAAGCACCGGCCAGCUUUAGUGGUCUUGAAUACGUUGGUUAGCUUGUUUGGGUGCGUUUGAUGUGCGUUAUAGCAAAACUCCACAAUGCUAUCCCUGACAGGCCCUGCCAGAGGCAUUUUAAUAGGGCAGACCUUAUGACUGAUUUUGGACCCUCUUGUUCCUUUCAUUUAGGCUAUUUAUUUACUUAUUUGUUAUUACUUUGCAUUGCUGCCCAAGUUACUAGCUUAAGGCAGUAUAAUAUAUAUUGUAGUAAUAAUAAUACGCACAGUUUCAUUAUUACAUCAAUGGAUUAGUGCAACGAUACCGUUUAUAUAAAUGCGACAGAUCUUUCAGCGCCAAACAAGUGCUCUACAUUAUUUUGUUCUCCUUAUUUAUUUCCGUUUUAUUUCAAAUAAUAAAUGUUAAAAGUUUUAAGUAAAGACAUCAAACUAUGCCCACACAUGCAAGCUAACCCGGUUAGACUAUUCUAUACCGAUAUAGUGAAAUCAGUAUAACACAAAAAAUACGUUUAAAAAUCAAGAUUUAAUAUUAAAUGCCAUUUAAUAUUAUUUUUAAUAUUAAACAAUUUUUAAAUUGUUUAAAAGUUUAUGUAAAUGCUGCGUUCAGGCUGCGUUACUUUAAAGUGUGCAUUACCGAGCCUCAUUCAAGCACUGCAGCAGAGAGCGUUGUCAUGGAAAUGGAGCAACGACACAACACGACCCCUGACCGUCAACAGCACUUCUCUCAUGCGGCAGAUUUCACUAAUUUCAGGUAAGUUUAGUCGCUAAAAUCAUGCAAAUGUUACAUACAACUGUUUCUGACACCUUUCUUACUGACAAUUGACAUGUUUCAGUUGAAUAUGUAUUUUAUAGAGACGGUUGUGUCUUUGGAAAAAGUUAGUUAGCAUUUUAGCAGAGGAAACGUUAGCAUUAGGCUACUAGCUCUUGUUUAUACAAGUUUUGGCUUUUAAUUACAUCUUUAUGUGUACAUGAGAGGUUUGUCAAUGUUUUAUUGGAGGUAGUCUACUUUAUUUAGCCUAAAAUAUGCACUUUACUGUUAAGGAGAGCAAAUUAAAACGUUAAAGUUAGUACACAUGUGUUAACUUUACCUUACUUUGAUAUUUCACAGUAAUGUAAACUAAUGUUUAUUUCAAAAAGUGCUCUGUGGUUUCAGGAGUGACAAAAUUACCCCUACAACAAAAUAGCAGAGCCAAGAUGAAGGGAGCUGAUCACAGAGAUGGAGGAAACACAGCAUCUUAAAGGGGCCCAAUGGUUCUAGAGCCAAUCAGCUUCUGAACAUAUUUAUAUCAUAAGAAAGAAGCCUGCUACAAGAGAGACAGCGGAAGGGAGCCUCCAAGACAUUUUUAUUAGGAUCUGCUAAUCAUGAGGGGGCAGACAAAAGAAACUGCAUUUUCCUUCAGCUUAAUAUCAGGGGCCGGCACAGCGGAAGAAUCUGGAUAUUACUCUGGCAUAUGUUUUACACAUCAAAUGGACUCCCAGCUGCAACCCAGCACUGUGAAACACCCAUACACUCUCGCAUUCACAGACACUUCUACACAAUGUUCAAAUUCACCUACAGUAUAGCGCAUGUGUUUGGACUGUGGUGGAGACCCACACCAAAACAGGGAGAACAUGCAAACUCCACACAGUAAUGCCAACUGACCCAACCGGGACUUGAACCACCAACCUUUUUGCUGUGAGGUAACAGUCUGAGCCACUGUGCUGCCCCAGUGUAGUUCUUAAUAACUUCCAGACAUUUUACAGUUUGAUUUUGUAAUAAUAAUGUGUGUUUACAUUUAUUGUAAUAUGUUAAUAUUUAUUCACAAUGUAAUGAAUUUUUUAUGUUAUUUAUAUUAACGUUAAAUGUUAUAUUAAUGUUAUAAUAUAUUAUAAUAAAUAAUUAUAAUAAUGUUAAAUUAUAAAUAAUAAUUUAAUAAUGUUAUAAUGUUUUUUAUAGUUUAUUUUUAUAUAUAAUGAUAAGUCUCAAAGUUCGUCUUUUUAUUAUAUGACAAACUUAUUGUUGUAUGGGUAAUACUUUUCAAUAAGGUUGUAUGUAUUAGUUAAUGUUAAUGUAUUUACUAAUGUAACCAAUACAUUUAUUACAGUAUUUAUUCGUCUUUGCUAAUGUUGGUAAAUGGUAAAAAAAAGUUGUUCAUUGUUUUUCCAUGUUAAUUCACAAUUUAUAAACUAAAGUUAACAAGCA